UGAGGAAUCUUGCGCAAUGGGGGAAACCCUGACGCAGCAACGCCGCGUGAGUGAAGAAGGCCUUCGGGUCGUAAAGCUCUGUCAGAUGGGAAGAAAUGGAUGGGGGCUAAUCUCGUCCAUCCUUGACGGUCCCAUCAGAGGAAGCACCGGCUAACUCCGUGCCAGCAGCCGCGGUAAUACGGGGGGUGCAAGCGUUGUUCGGAAUCAUUGGGCGUAAAGCGCGCGCAGGCGGCUUGGGAAGUCAGAGGUGAAAUCCCUGGGCUUAACCCAGGAAGUGCAUUUGAUACUGCCUAGCUAGAGUACGGGAGAGGAAAGUGGAAGGCCUGGUGUAGAGGUGAAAUUCGUAGAUAUCAGGAGGAACACCGGUGGCGAAGGCGACUUUCUGGCCCGUUACUGACGCUCAGGCGCGAAAGCGUGGGGAGCAAACA
This 428-nucleotide ribosomal RNA is filed under the name uncultured prokaryote. Its description in RNAcentral is "bacterial SSU rRNA". It matches the Rfam family "Bacterial small subunit ribosomal RNA", at positions 355 to 774 of the family's 1533-position model. The record is from RNAcentral.